AGUGAACGCUGGCGGUAGGCCUAACACAUGCAAGUCGAACGGCAGCACAGUAAGAGCUUGCUCUUACGGGUGGCGAGUGGCGGACGGGUGAGGCAUACAUCGGAAUCUACUUUUUCGUGGGGGAUAACGUAGGGAAACUUACGCUAAUACCGCAUACGACCUACGGGUGAAAGCAGGGGAUCUUCGUACCUUGCGCGAUUGAAUGAGCCGAUGUCGGAUUAGCUAGUUGGCGGGGUAAAGGCCCACCAAGGCGACGAUCCGUAGCUGGUCUGAGAGGAGGAUCAGCCACACUGGAACUGAGACACGGUCCAGACUCCUACGGGAGGCAGCAGUGGGGAAUAUUGGACAAUGGGCGCAAGCCUGAUCCAGCAAUACCGCGUGGGUGAAGAAGGCCUUCGGGUUGUAAAGCCCUUUUGUUGGGAAAGAAAAGCAGCAGGUUAAUACCCCGCUGUUCUGACGGUACCCAAAGAAUGAGCGCCGGCUAACUUCGUG
This 492-nucleotide ribosomal RNA is filed under the name uncultured bacterium. RNAcentral describes it as "partial 16S ribosomal RNA". It matches the Rfam family "Bacterial small subunit ribosomal RNA", at positions 29 to 507 of the family's 1533-position model. The record is from RNAcentral.